This 39-nucleotide small nuclear RNA is filed under the name Arabidopsis thaliana (thale cress). Its description in RNAcentral is "partial putative U2 small nuclear RNA". Lineage: Eukaryota; Viridiplantae; Streptophyta; Magnoliopsida; Brassicales; Brassicaceae. The record is from RNAcentral.
GUCGCCCAUGCGUUGCACUAUUGCACGGGCUUGGCUCAA